This 389-nucleotide ribosomal RNA is filed under the name Syndiniales sp. RNAcentral describes it as "partial small subunit ribosomal RNA". It matches the Rfam family "Eukaryotic small subunit ribosomal RNA", at positions 582 to 975 of the family's 1831-position model. Lineage: Eukaryota; Dinophyceae; Syndiniales. The record is from RNAcentral.
AUUCCAGCUCCAAUAGCGUAUAUUAAAGUUGUUGCGGUUAAAAAGCUCGUAGUUGGAUUUCUGUUGAGAACGGCCGGUCCGCACUAUGUGCGUGUAUCUGGUUCGGUCUUGGCAUCCUCUUGGAGAACGUAACUGCGCUUGAUUGCGUGGUGCGGUAUUCAAGACUUUUACUUUGAGGAAAUUAGAGUGUUCACGGCAGGCAAGCGCCUUGAAUAUAUUAGCAUGGAAUAAUAAUAUAGGAUCUCGGUUCUAUUUUGUUGGUUUCUAGAAUCAGGAUAAUGAUUAAUAGGGAUAAUUGGGGGCAUUUGUAUUAACGCGUCAGAGGUGGAAUUCUUGGAUUGCGUUACGACAAACUACUGCGAAAGCAUUUGCCAAGGAUGUUUUCAUUA